Long non-coding RNA from Pantherophis guttatus, 763 nucleotides. RefSeq lists it as uncharacterized. NCBI's taxonomy places the organism in Eukaryota, Metazoa, Chordata, Lepidosauria, Squamata, Colubridae. The record is from RefSeq and is a predicted model, not a curated record.
AAUCUUGCAACUCUGAAAGUACAAAUCUCCCAUUGUCUUUAUUAGGGAGGUCCUAAGUUUCUUUCUCUGUCCCAUUGGGUAGCUGUAGUCUCUCACUCCCCUUAUCUAAUUUUUCCAUAGGCAGUAUCUCUUUCCCAUUUCCCAUGGUCAUUUCCACAUACCAUUACAGACAACUCCAGAGAAGUGGGUAUAGUGUUGUGAGCAGUAAUCAGUGGCCAAAUAAUUAACUCUGGUAAGUGAAAGUUCACAGUUUAAGGAGAGGCAGAGAGGUUACCCACCUGCAGCACAGCUGAGUUGAUUGUCCAGGUGAUGAGGUAGAGGCACCACACUGGCAUCUGCAGCACAGCCUUUAGGACACUGUACUCACUCGAAAUCUUAGUUUCUUAAUUACUUUCAAAAUAGUCAAUUUACAUUUAAAGACAGAUCUCCUGACUGGCAGGAAGAAAAAAAACAACAGACACUCGGCGAAUCAGCCUUCAUUGCAGAUCAAAGAAAGGAAAAAAUGAAAAAAAUUAAUUUUAAGAAUUUAAAACUAACAGCAAAAAGCUAUUUAUCAAAGCUGUCAAAGAUUUUGACCUACGAAAAUUAUGAACAGAUGAACAGGACAGUUUGAGUAUAAGAAUGGCAACUACUAGAAAGGCAGCAAAAGGUGGUGAAGGUUUGUUGUAAGAAUCAAGAAGAAAAUACCACACAAAGGGAUAAAAAUGUGUUAUUACAAGAAGAAGAAGAAGAAGAAGAAGAAGAAGAAGAAGAAGAAGAAGAA